Molecule: long non-coding RNA, 902 nt
Organism: Camponotus floridanus (Florida carpenter ant)
Lineage: Eukaryota; Metazoa; Arthropoda; Insecta; Hymenoptera; Formicidae
Exons: 3
Source: RefSeq, a predicted model, not a curated record
AGAGGAAAACCUCUAACGUCUCUUUUUCUUUUCUAUUCAACAGAUCACAUUCCUUGUUAUCCUUCCAAUAUUGUUUACAUCUGUAAAGGCUGUUUUUGUGCAAUCGGCCAACUAAUAAGAUCGGGUAUCGUCGUCGAACCAAUUCGAGUGACUUGGAGUCGACGAUCGAGAUUCGCCGUGAUACCCGCGAUUAAUCAUCAGGGGGCUCCCUGAUAUACACGCUUAAAGGUUGCUGGCGAAAGGGGAAGAGAAACGGUAGCCGACUCCGGCCAACCGACCUUCCGUACCGCGGCGCCAUUUUUUUGCGCCAUCCGUUAUAAUUGCCGGGGCCUUGUCACUUUUGCGGGCUUUCGCAGUGAGGUACCUGAUGUGUACGUUGCCCCGUGCCGGCUUUCUUGCGCGGCGGCUUCGUCAAAGCGACCAGGAGAGGGAAGGGAUGCACAAUGAGCGGAGGACGGAGGACCAGAAACGAGGUGAACAAUGCCGACUGUCGUCGCAAUUGCGAGGCUUCCUCUCGUCUCGUUUCGAAGGAAAUGCCGACGCACAUACUUGCCCCUCGCUGAAUUACACCGGUAUCGGCUCCUGGUUACCAACGUACAGAAGCAUCGGGCCAAUCUAUCGACGGAGGGGGGCAAGAGAUGAAAGACGAAGCGUAAGAGAUAAAGUGGGCUCGUGAAACGUUGUUACGAAACAACGUGGGCAGCGCCGGUAGAAAAUGGCGUGGGCCGUGACUGUCCGAGACCAGGUGAAACAUGUUUGUACAAGAUAUGAACUGAUAAGCCAUCACCGAGGCUCAACGAAAGGGUUCAAGCAUGCUGAUCACCGUUGCUUGAAGUCGAUCGGGAAAAAUGAGAUGCGCAAAAAGAUUUGUAAUUUUCUUGAAAAUCUGACGUCUCUUGGCU